RNAcentral lists this ribosomal RNA (164 nucleotides) under uncultured bacterium. RNAcentral's name for it is "partial 16S rRNA". It matches the Rfam family "Bacterial small subunit ribosomal RNA", at positions 355 to 511 of the family's 1533-position model. The record is from RNAcentral.
UAGGGAAUCUUCCACAAUGGACGAAAGUCUGAUGGAGCAACGCCGCGUGAGUGAAGAAAGGUUUCGGCUCGUAAAACUCUGUUGUUAAAGAAGAACAUAUCUGAGAGUAACUGUUCAGGUAUUGACGGUAUUUAACCAGAAAGCCACGGCUGACUACGUGCAAG